UACAGAGGUCUCAAGCGUUGUUCGGAUUCAUUGGGCGUAAAGGGUGCGUAGGUGGCGCGCUAAGUCAGGGGUGAAAUUUCGGAGCUUAACUCCGAAACUGCAUUUGAUACUGGCGUGCUUGAGGACUGGAGAGGAGACUGGAAUUCAUGGUGUAGCAGUGAAAUGCGUAGAGAUCAUGAGGAAGACCAGUGGCGAAGGCGGGUCUCUGGACCACUACUGACGCUGAGGCGCGAAAGCUAGGGGAGCAAACAGG
Molecule: ribosomal RNA, 253 nt
Filed under: uncultured bacterium
Lineage: Bacteria
Description: partial 16S ribosomal RNA
Rfam family: Bacterial small subunit ribosomal RNA
Source: RNAcentral